Molecule: long non-coding RNA, 4723 nt
Organism: Anolis carolinensis (green anole)
Lineage: Eukaryota; Metazoa; Chordata; Lepidosauria; Squamata; Anolidae
Source: Ensembl
AUGUUCUUCUUCUUUGACUGCUUGUUUUACUUGGCAGAAUAUGUAAAGCAAAGUGAAGAACCUGCUUUGAUUGAAGUCAAAAAUCAGAAACUCCACAAAGCACAGCAGACAAAAAACCAGUACAAGAAAACCGCACUACAAACUAGAGCUGACAGCUGGCACAACAAAACAUUGCAUGGAAAGUUCCUUGACAAAACUGAAGGAAAAUCUGACAAGGAGAAGACCUGGCUCUGGCUCACAAAUGGGACCCUGAAGAAGAAGACGGAAGGCCUGAUCCUUGCAGCCCAGGAGCAAGCCAUCAGAACAAAGGCAAUUCAGGCCAAGAUCGAAAAAUCAGCUGAUGACCCAAAAUGCAGACUGUGCAAAGAAACCGACGCAACCAUGGAUCAUCUCCUCAGCUGCUGUAAGAAAAUCGCACAGACAGACUACAAACAGAGGCACAACUAUGUGGCCCAAAUGAUUCAUUGGAACUUAUGCCUCAAGUACCACCUUCCAGCAGCAAAGAACUGGUGGGAUCACAAACCUGCAAAAGUAUUGGAAAAUGAGCACGCAAAGAUACUGUGGGACUUCCGAAUCCAGACUGACAAAGUUCUGGAACACAACACACCAGACAUCACAGUUGUGGAAAAGAAAAAGGUUUGGAUCAUUGAUGUCGCCAUCCCAGGUGACAGUCGCAUUGACGAAAAACAACAGGAAAAACUCAGCCACUAUUAGGACUCCAAGAUUGAACUUCAAAGACUCUGGCAGAAACCAGUGCAGGUGGUCCCAGUGGUGAUGGGCACACUGGGUGCCGUGCCAAAAGAUCUCAGCCGGCAUUUGGAGACAAUAGACAUUGACAAAAUUACGAUCUGCCAACUGCAAAAAGCCACCCUACUGGGAUCUGCACGCAUCAUCCAAAAAUACAUCACACAGUCCUAGACAAUUGGGAAGUGUUUGACUUGUGAUUUUGUGAUAUGAAAUCCAGCAUGUCUAUCUUGUUUGCUGUGUCAUAAUAAAAUAAUAAUAAUAUAAUAUAAUAUAAUAUAUUAUUAUUAUUAUUAUUAUUAAUAAUAAUAAUAAUAAUAAUAAUAAUGAAGAAAAUAAUUAGGAAGAACCUCCUGGCGGCAACAGCUGUUUGUCAAUGCUGCCUGGUGAAGUCUCAACCCACCAGGUAUUAUUAUUAUUAUUAUUAUUAUUAUUAUUAUUAUUAUUAUUAUUAUAGGAGUUUCAAACAGCAUUAAUUCAACUUUCUAGGGAAGAUAUACUUGUCAGCAUACGUGUGGGUAAACAGUUUUCUCUGUGAAUCCUAUAUUUCCAAAGCAUUUUUCAGCAUGUCCAUUCUACAUCAAGGCUGGUAUCCCACAGCCCUAAGGCCAGGCUGUGUCGCACUGACCAAGAGGUCAUGAGUUCGAAGCCUGGGUCGGAUUGAAUGCCCGACCAUUAAAUAGCCUAGCUGGUUGUUGACCUAAGCAACCCGAAAGACAGUUGCAUCUGUCGGGGAAAUUUAGGCACCGCUUUAUAUGGGGAGGCUAAUUUAACUCAUUUAGGUAAAGGUAAAGGUCUCCCCUGACGUUAAGUCCAGUCGUGACCAACUCUGGGGAUUGGUGGUCAUCUCCAUUUCUAAGCCGAAGAGCCGCCGUUGUCCACAGACAUCUCCAAGGUCAUGUGGCCGGCAUGACUGCAUGGAGUGCCGUUACCUUCCCGCCAGAGCGGUACCUAUUGAUAUCAUCACAUUUGCAUGUUUUUGAACUACUACCCUGUUUCCCCUAAAAUAAGACAUCCCCAGAAAAUAAGACCUAGUAGAGGUUUUGCUGAAUUACUAAAUAUAAGGCCUCCCCCGAAAGUAAGCCCUAGCAAAGUUUUUGUUUGGAAGCAUGCCCGCUGAACAGAACACCAGAGCAUGCAGGAUUGGUAAAUGUACAUACCAUAAAGUGUUGUACAUGGAAAUAAUGGUAGUAACAAGAAAUUCUUGAUAGGAUUUCACAGUUUGUCUGGUUAUGCUGGUUUGUGAUGACAAUUACUGUACAGUAUAUAAUAAAUGUUCUUUUUUUUUGUUCAACCAUAAAUGUGAAUUCUUCUUCAUGGAAAAAUAAGAUACCCCCUGAAAAUAAGACCUAGCGCAUCUUUGGGAGCAAAAAUUAAUAUAAGACACUGUCUUAUUUUCGGGGAAACACGGUAGGUUGGCAGGAGCUGGGGCUAACAGCGGGUGCUCAUUCCACUCCCGGGAUUUGAACUUGGGACCUUUUGGUCCGCAAGUUCAGCAGCUCAGCGCUUUAUCACACUGUGCCACCAGGGGCCCUAACUAAUUUACGACACCAUAAAAAAGUCCAGCAGUGUGCAGAAGAAUGAGGAAGUGCUCCAUCAAGGACUCGGUGUCAGAAGUGGACGAUGAAGCGAUAGCUCUCCCUGUGGCUGGAAUGGAGCAUACCCUCAUGAAGGCAGAAGCUGGAAAAUGUUAAAUUGCCUCUGCCUCUAUCUCUUGUAGGUCGUAUGUCAUUGAAUGUUUGCCAUGCAUAUGUACAUUGCGAUCCGGCCCAAGUCCCCUUCAGGGUGAGAAGAGCAGAAUAUAAAUACUGAAAAUAAAUAAAUACAUUUUCCUGAUUGGUUGGUCUUUAUCUCUCUCUAUCAGGGACCAAAAAGGAGCCCCCUCCCAAAGCCCAGAAGGAAGAAGGAUCAAAUGCAAUCUCUCUCAUGAGGAGAAAGAGGAAUCAAAAUGGGGCAACAUGCCAAUCACUUGGCCAGGCCCAGAGCCCUGCUGACUCCUCUCACUAUCAGCUCCAAGCAGGCAGCUUCUGCUCAGCGGCAGGCUGGAGUAGAAGGCCAGCAAACAAAUGCAUACAAACACAUGCACAUUCUCACAGCCAGCAGUCUCUUCUGUAUGGAAUUGCAAAGCUGGGGUGUAUCGGAACCCUUCCUUCCUUGUGUUGUCGAAGGCUUUCAUGGCCGGGAUCACAGGGUUGUUGUAUGUCUUUCGGGCUGUGUGGCCAUGUUCCAGAAAUAUUCUCUCCUGACGUUUCGCCCACAUCUAUGGCAGGCAUCCUCAGAGGUUGUGAGGUAUGGAUAAACUAAUGGUUUCUUCCUUUCUUUUUCAUGAAAGGCACUGCAGACUAAUUCAACCAGAGAAAUCAGCCAUAGCAGAGCAUUUGAUGAACCAGCCUGGACACAGGAUAUUAUUUGAUAACACAAAAAUGCUGGACCAUUCCAACAACUAUCAUGUCAGACUACACAGAGAAGCCAUUGAAAUCCACAAGCAUGUGGACAACUUCAACAGAAAGGAAGAAACCAUGAAAAUGAACAAAAUCUGGCUACCAGUAUUACAAAACUCCAAAAUCAAAACAGUAGAUGGGAACCAACACUCUGAGGGCUUGACUGAACAAAGGAUGCCCCCAGGCAAGAGACAAAACAUGUCCAAUGCUAAUUAGGGUGAUUAACUGAAACAUUAAUGCUGGCUCCCAGUGACAAAGGACUCUUGCCACACCCUGGACUCUACACAGAUAUAUAUUCUUUCCUUUCCUUACUUAGUUUCUCCAUACCUCUGAGGAUGCCUGCCAUAGAUGUGGGAGAGAAUACUUCUGGAACAUGGCCACACAGCCCGAAAGACAUGCAACAACCCUUCCUUCCUUCUUUCCCACCCCAAGGACAGAGCAACACACAGCAUCCCCGGCCCAGCUCUUUGUCUCCAGUGCAGAAGCAUGGCUUGCCUUGUGCAUCCUUGGGCUUCGAACUAACUGCCCGUGCUGACUGGCAGUGGCUCCCCCAGGAUCCUAAACCUUGCCGCACCUUUUGAUUGGAGAUACCAGGGAUUGAAAUUGGCACUCUCUGAAUGCCAUGAAGGUGUCCUGAAAACGCAGUCUCCCCAUGUUGCACCUCAGCACUGGAUCGCCUUGCUCUUAACACACACUCCACCACAGCAGACUUGGUUUGUUCCGUUUAUUGAUAAAAGAUAGCAAAAUCUUAAUAAAAAGCAGUAAAGAAAGCAGUAAUCCAAUGGCAAAGGCAAUCUGCAGAAUACAGUUCAAAGUCUUUGUAGAAAAUAGUUCAAUGGCUCUAAAAUAGCAUAUCAGUCCUUGAGAAACAAGGUAGCAUGAGCUUCAAAAUUAAAUCACAGAAUCUAGGCAGGAACCGAAGUGAGGAUCUAUUUCUAUGAGCAGAGACAAGGCAAGAGUUAAGCUUCCAGAAUCAACGUUGCUCUGACUGAAAUCUUUCCCUGUUUCACCCUUUUUAACCAUGCUUACAAGUUAGAAAAGCCUUCCUCUGAGCUUUGGUUCCCACACUUUUUAGCAAUUCUCACAGAACACCUAGGACCAACUCUUAACCUUAAUCUUGUGUCUCUAUCUAAGGAAAGCUCCUCUGACUCGCUGCCAGAGCCACCUGGACUUUGUUGAUGUUCAAAAUCCUGUGAAAAGUCACUCUUAUCAUUAACUUCAGCUUCCCUGCUAGUCUGCGGCCUUUCUAACAAUUCAGUAGGUAAAGGUAAAGGUUUCCCCUGACGUUGUCCAUAGACACCUCCAAGGUCAUGUGGCCAGCAUGACUGCAUGGAGCACCGUUAUCUUCCUGCCAGAGCGGUACCUAUUGAUCUACUCACAUUGGAAUGUUUUCGAACUGCUAGGUUGGCAGAAGCUGGAGCUAACAGUGGGCACUCACUCCGCUCCUGGGAUUUGAACCUGGGACCUUUCGGUCUGCAAGUUCAGCAGCUCAGUGCUUUAACACACUUCGCCACCGGGGCUCCUAACAAUUCAGAGCC